GUGAUAGAGGGAACAAAGGAUUUAUAUAUUUUUUGUACAAAGUUUUUUCUUAAACUGUAUAAUUUUGUAAAUAAUUUGUUUGGUUUUUUUGUGUACUAAAACUACCAGCGUAUAGAUUUCAAUAAGAAUUGUUGUAUUUUUGUAUUUGGAAAUGGAAAAUUACAGUAAAUUAAUGGAACUGUAAGAAAAUUUUCAGUAGACUGACAGUUCAACAGAAUAAGAUUCCUUUUCAUAUGAUUUUUUAACCUCAAAAUUGACAUCUUAUUACACUCUUAGUACAGAGAGAGUUGAGGAUUUGUUUGACUUUUUAGUUAUGGGGGAGAGCAGAUGAAAGAGAAGGGUGUUAAAUUGAGGAAUAGAUAGAUACCUUUCCCAGUGAUUUGAAGGCCCUUUGUAUAAAACUUAGUUUGCAGUACACCUUAAAUAGGACCAAAAUACUUUAAGAUUUUUAAACAUGUUUGAAUCUUAAAAAUGAAUUUAAAAUAUGGGUUAAAUAUAAUGUUAGAAAAUUUAAGUUUAGCAUAAAAUAGUUGAACAUAUUUUUUUUCUUUAGGAUUUUUUACUCUCAUCCUCAAAUCCCCAAGCGUUAGAAUUUCCCUUAAAAGUAACUACCAUGACUUGUUUUCUUGGCAUCUUCAUUUACAGAAAUAACAUAUACCAUCUGAGGCAAAUUCUGUUCUUUUUAGUGUGUAUGACAUCUUUCUAAGUAGCUGAUGAGCAAUAACAACCACCAAUCUGCCUAGGUCACCCUGGUUUACUGAGCAGAUUGCUGCCCAAGCUGAAAAAGGUAACCCCAGGAAAUGCAGAAUUUCCCUCAAUUUCUUCAUGUUGUAACAUUGGAAAAACAUUAUCACUAGCUAAGAUGAUGAAUUGGAAAACAGUCUUGUUAGAGUGAAAAAAGUCCAUGGUGAUGGAUCAUUAUUUCAAAAAGAAGAAAAAAAUCAUGUGAAAAGGAAUAGUGGUUCCUCUUGAUGUAUAGUAUGCCUGUAUUAUAGUUUUUACAAAAUUGUGAACUUGUGUAAUAGUAUAAUAGGAGAUAUUGUUGAAUUUCUAACUGUUUAUACAUUUAAAUUCAUAUAUGUAAUGUUUGUUUUAUCGAUUACAAUCUGAAUUUCUAAGAAGCAUGUUGACUUUUGCAAUAAAGAUGCAAUAUGGAAUGGUUCACAAUUGAAAAAAAAGAAAAAAGAUACAAGUAUUACAAAUUUAAAAGAAUUUCGAAAAUUUAUGAACCAUUCCAAAAGUUAUAACAAUCACCAAAAGAGCUGUAAUUCUGGCUUGUUCUGGAAAGAAAGAAAAUGUGUGUGUAUGUGUGCUUGUGUGUGAGAGUGAGUGAGUAGUAGAUAUGCAUGUGUGUUUUAUGUUGGGUUCAUGUACAUGAGAGAGUGCCACUCAAUAUGAAUUUGCAUACUGAAUCACUGGCUAUUAAAAAUUUAGUAGAAUAACUCCCUCAAUAGGGUAGUCUUGAAAAG
RNAcentral lists this long non-coding RNA (1469 nucleotides) under Equus asinus (donkey). Its description in RNAcentral is "lncRNA (ENSEASG00005038000.1)". The record is from RNAcentral. Lineage: Eukaryota; Metazoa; Chordata; Mammalia; Perissodactyla; Equidae.